Molecule: ribosomal RNA, 325 nt
Filed under: uncultured eukaryote
Lineage: Eukaryota
Description: partial 18S ribosomal RNA
Rfam family: Eukaryotic small subunit ribosomal RNA
Source: RNAcentral
CCCUUAGAUGUUCUGGGCCGCACGCGCGCUACACUGAUGCAUUCAACGAGCCUAUCCUUGACCGACAGGUCCGGGUAAUCUUUGAAUCUGCAUCGUGACGGGGAUAGAUUAUUGCAAUUAUUAAUCUUCAACGAGGAAUGCCUAGUAGGCGCAAGUCAUCAGCUUGCGUCGAUUACGUCCCUGCCCUUUGUACACACCGCCCGUCGCUCCUACCGAUUGGGUGUGCUGGUGUAAUGUUCGGAUCGGCCGUUUGUCGCGGUUUCCGCGUCAUGUGGCUGAGAAGUUCAUUAAACCCUCCCACCUAGAGGAAGGAGAAGUCGUAACA